CCUACGGGAGGCAGCAGUAGGGAAUCUUCCACAAUGGACGAAAGUCUGAUGGAGCAACGCCGCGUGAGUGAAGAAGGGUUUCGGCUCGUAAAGCUCUGUUGGUAGUGAAGACAGAUAGAGGUAGUAACUGGCCUUUAUUUGACGGUAAUUACUUAGAAAGUCACGGCUAACUACGUGCCAGCAGCCGCGGUAAUACGUAGGUGGCAAGCGUUGUCCGGAUUUAUUGGGCGUAAAGCGAGUGCAGGCGGUUCAAUAAGUCUGAUGUGAAAGCCUUCGGCUCAACCGGAGAAUUGCAUCAGAAACGGGUGAACUUGAGUGCAGAAGAGGAGAGUGGAACUCCAUGUGUAGCAGUGGAAUGCGUAGAUAUAUGGAAGAACACCAGUGGCGAAGGCGGCUUUCUGGUCUGCAACUGACGCUGAGGCUCGAAAGCAUGGGUAGCGAACAGGAUUAGAUACCCCUGUAGUC
This 465-nucleotide ribosomal RNA is filed under the name uncultured bacterium. RNAcentral's name for it is "partial 16S ribosomal RNA". It matches the Rfam family "Bacterial small subunit ribosomal RNA", at positions 338 to 795 of the family's 1533-position model. The record is from RNAcentral.